This 73-nucleotide transfer RNA is filed under the name Ailuropoda melanoleuca (giant panda). It matches the Rfam family "tRNA". From Rfam's summary of the family: Transfer RNA (tRNA) molecules are approximately 80 nucleotides in length. Lineage: Eukaryota; Metazoa; Chordata; Mammalia; Carnivora; Ursidae. The record is from Rfam by way of RNAcentral.
GCCUGGCUGGCUCAGUCAGUGGAGCAUGGGACUCUUGAUCUCAGGGUCGUGAGUUCAAGCCCCAUGCUGGGCA